This 207-nucleotide ribosomal RNA is filed under the name uncultured bacterium. Its description in RNAcentral is "partial 16S ribosomal RNA". It matches the Rfam family "Bacterial small subunit ribosomal RNA", at positions 568 to 774 of the family's 1533-position model. The record is from RNAcentral.
UGCGCAGGCGGCUGAGCAAGUCGAGUGUGAAAGCCCCGGGCUUAACUUGGGAAUUGCGCUCGAAACUACUUGGCUGGAGUGUGGCAGAGGAGGGUGGAAUUCCACGUGUAGCGGUGAAAUGCGUAGAGAUGUGGAGGAACACCAAUGGCGAAGGCAGCCCUCUGGGCCAACACUGACGCUCAUGCACGAAAGCGUGGGGAGCAAACA